UGCUGGAGGUAUCAGAAGUGCGAAUGCUGACAUAAGUAACGAUAAAGCGGGUGAAAAGCCCGCUCGCCGGAAGACCAAGGGUUCCUGUCCAACGUUAAUCGGGGCAGGGUGAGUCGACCCCUAAGGCGAGGCCGAAAGGCGUAGUCGAUGGGAAACGGGUUAAUAUUCCCGUACUUGGUGUUACUGCGAAGGGGGGACGGAGAAGGCUAUGUUGGCCGGGCGACGGUUGUCCCGGUUUAAGCGUGUAGGUGUGUGUUCCAGGUAAAUCCGGUUCACUUUAACACUGAGGCGUGACGACGAGGCACUACGGUGCUGAAGCAACAAAUGCCCUGCUUCCAGGAAAAGCCUCUAAGCAUCAGGUAACAUCAAAUCGUACCCCAAACCGACACAGGUGGUCAGGUAGAGAAUACCAAGGCGCUUGAGAGAACUCGGGUGAAGGAACUAGGCAAAAUGGUGCCGUAACUUCGGGAGAAGGCACGCUGACACGUAGGUGAAGUGAUUUACUCAUGGAGCUGAAGUCAGUCGAAGAUACCAGCUGGCUGCAACUGUUUAUUAAAAACACAGCACUGUGCAAACACGAAAGUGGACGUAUACGGUGUGACGCCUGCCCGGUGCCGGAAGGUUAAUUGAUGGGGUCAGCGUAAGCGAAGCUCCUGAUCGAAGCCCCGGUAAACGGCGGCCGUAACUAUAACGGUCCUAAGGUAGCGAAAUUCCUUGUCGGGUAAGUUCCGACCUGCACGAAUGGCGUAAUGAUGGCCAGGCUGUCUCCACCCGAGACUCAGUGAAAUUGAACUCGCUGUGAAGAUGCAGUGUACCCGCGGCAAGACGGAAAGACCCCGUGAACCUUUACUAUAGCUUGACACUGAACAUUGAGCCUUGAUGUGUAGGAUAGGUGGGAGGCUUUGAAGUGUGGACGCCAGUCUGCAUGGAGCCGACCUUGAAAUACCACCCUUUAAUGUUUGAUGUUCUAACGUGGACCCGUAAUCCGGGUUGCGGACAGUGUCUGGUGGGUAGUUUGACUGGGGCGGUCUCCUCCUAAAGAGUAACGGAGGAGCACGAAGGUUGGCUAAUCCUGGUCGGACAUCAGGAGGUUAGUGCAAUGGCAUAAGCCAGCUUGACUGCGAGCGUGACGGCGCGAGCAGGUGCGAAAGCAGGUCAUAGUGAUCCGGUGGUUCUGAAUGGAAGGGCCAUCGCUCAACGGAUAAAAGGUACUCCGGGGAUAACAGGCUGAUACCGCCCAAGAGUUCAUAUCGACGGCGGUGUUUGGCACCUCGAUGUCGGCUCAUCACAUCCUGGGGCUGAAGUAGGUCCCAAGGGUAUGGCUGUUCGCCAUUUAAAGUGGUACGCGAGCUGGGUUUAGAACGUCGUGAGACAGUUCGGUCCCUAUCUGCCGUGGGCGCUGGAGAACUGAGGGGGGCUGCUCCUAGUACGAGAGGACCGGAGUGGACGCAUCACUGGUGUUCGGGUUGUCAUGCCAAUGGCACUGCCCGGUAGCUAAAUGCGGAAGAGAUAAGUGCUGAAAGCAUCUAAGCACGAAACUUGCCCCGAGAUGAGUUCUCCCUGAGACUUAGAGUCUCCUGAAGGAACGUUGAAGACGACGACGUUGAUAGGCCGGGUGUGUAAGCGCAGCGAUGCGUUGAGCUAACCGGUACUAAUGAACCGUGAGGCUUAACCUUACAACGCCGAAG
RNAcentral lists this ribosomal RNA (1688 nucleotides) under Salmonella enterica. RNAcentral's name for it is "bacterial LSU rRNA". It matches the Rfam family "Bacterial large subunit ribosomal RNA", at positions 1271 to 2925 of the family's 2925-position model. RNAcentral also lists the same sequence under 1 other name. The record is from RNAcentral. Lineage: Bacteria; Pseudomonadati; Pseudomonadota; Gammaproteobacteria; Enterobacterales; Enterobacteriaceae.